RNAcentral lists this ribosomal RNA (433 nucleotides) under uncultured bacterium. RNAcentral describes it as "partial 16S ribosomal RNA". It matches the Rfam family "Bacterial small subunit ribosomal RNA", at positions 29 to 507 of the family's 1533-position model. The record is from RNAcentral.
AACGAACGCUGGCGGCAGGCCUAACACAUGCAAGUCGAGCGAGGACUUCGGUUCUAGCGGCGGACGGGUGAGUAACGCGUGGGAAUGUGCCCUUCUCUACGGAAUAGCCCUGGGAAACUGGGAGUAAUACCGUAUACGCCCUAUUGGGGAAAGAUUUAUCGGAGAAGGAUCAGCCCGCGUUGGAUUAGGUAGUUGGUGGGGUAAUGGCCUACCAAGCCGACGAUCCAUAGCUGGUUUGAGAGGAUGAUCAGCCACACUGGGACUGAGACACGGCCCAGACUCCUACGGGAGGCAGCAGUGGGGAAUCUUAGACAAUGGGGGCAACCCUGAUCUAGCCAUGCCGCGUGAGUGAUGAAGGCCUUAGGGUUGCAAAGCUCUUUCAGCUGGGAAGAUAAUGACGGUACCAGCAGAAGAAGCACCGGCUAACUCCGUG